Molecule: ribosomal RNA, 300 nt
Filed under: uncultured Bacillus sp.
Lineage: Bacteria; Bacillati; Bacillota; Bacilli; Caryophanales; Bacillaceae
Description: bacterial SSU rRNA
Rfam family: Bacterial small subunit ribosomal RNA
Source: RNAcentral
GUUAUGGGUGUGCCAGUGGGGGCGUUAAUGUAGGGGUGGCAGGGGUGUUUGGGAAUGAGUGGGCGGAAAGCGCGGGUAUGCGAUGUGUUAUGUCGGGGGGGAAAGCCGUCAGCGUAACUGAGGAAGGGCGCCCGAAACUGGCGAGCUUGAGUACCGGAGAGGAGAGCGGAACACCCGGUGUAGAGGUGAAAUUCGUAGAUAUCGGGUAGAACACCAGUGGCGAAGGCGGCUCUCUGGACUGAUACUGACGCUGAGACGCGAAAGCGUGGGGAGCAAACAGGAUUAGAUACCCCGGUAGUC